This 481-nucleotide ribosomal RNA is filed under the name uncultured bacterium. RNAcentral's name for it is "partial 16S ribosomal RNA". It matches the Rfam family "Bacterial small subunit ribosomal RNA", at positions 28 to 507 of the family's 1533-position model. The record is from RNAcentral.
GAUGAACGCUGGCGGCGUGCCUAACACAUGCAAGUCGAACGGAGAUUACGGACGGAAGUUUUCGGAUGGAAGCCUGUAAUUCUUAGUGGCGGACGGGUGAGUAACGCGUGGGCAACCUGCCCUAUACAGGGGGAUAGCAGCUGGAAACGGCUGGUAAGACCGCAUAAGUCGGUUAAAUCGCAUGAUUUGAUCGGGAAAUGAGCAAUCAGGUAUAGGAUGGGCCCGCGUCCGAUUAGCCAGUUGGCAGGGUAAAAGCCUACCAAAGCGACGAUCGGUAGCCGGACUGAGAGGUCGGACGGCCACAUUGGGACUGAGACACGGCCCAAACUCCUACGGGAGGCAGCAGUGGGGGAUAUUGCACAAUGGAGGAAACUCUGAUGCAGCGACGCCGCGUGAGUGAAGAAGUAUUUCGGGAUGUAAAGCUCUAUCAGCAGGGAAGAUGAUGACGGUACCUGACUAAGAAGCCCCGGCUAACUACGUG